This 377-nucleotide ribosomal RNA is filed under the name uncultured bacterium. Its description in RNAcentral is "bacterial SSU rRNA". It matches the Rfam family "Bacterial small subunit ribosomal RNA", at positions 521 to 896 of the family's 1533-position model. The record is from RNAcentral.
UAAUACGUAGGGGGCGAGCGUUGUCCGGAUUUACUGGGCGUAAAGCGCGUGUAGGCGGCGAUUUAAGUCGGGUGUGAAAGCCCGGGGCUCAACCCCGGGAUGCCGCCCGAGACUGGGUCGCUUGAGGUCGGAAGAGGGGAGUGGAAUUCCAGGUGUAGCGGUGAAAUGCGUAGAGAUCUGGAGGAACACCCGUGGCGAAGGCGGCUCCCUGGUCCGAUUCUGACGCUGAGACGCGAAAGCGCGGGGAGCGAACGGGAUUAGAUACCCCGGUAGUCCGCGCCGUAAACGAUGGUCACUAGGUGUGCGUGGUAUCGACCCCACGCGUGCCGGCGCUAACGCAUUAAGUGACCCGCCUGGGGAGUACGGCCGCAAGGUUG